CUACUUACCUGACAGGGCAGACACCUUGAUUAUGAAGGUAGUUUUCUCAGUGAGGCUUGCCCACUGCGCCCUGGAUGUGCUGACCCCUGCCAUUUCCCCAGAUGUGGGAAACUUGACUAUAAUUUAUGGUAAUGAGGGGAGUAUUUGUACUUGCCACU
Small nuclear RNA from Chionomys nivalis (European snow vole), 158 nucleotides. RefSeq annotates it as U1 spliceosomal RNA. The transcript has a single exon. The record is from RefSeq and is a predicted model, not a curated record. Lineage: Eukaryota; Metazoa; Chordata; Mammalia; Rodentia; Cricetidae.